UAACAAGGCAUUGUGUUGUAGGAAGUAGAAUAGCUACACAAUACAAACUUCUCUCACUUGUUACAGCUGCUUGGACUGAAAGUUACCUGGUGCUGGGUACUGUGGGGUGGUUUAAGGUUGCCUCCCCUGACCCAGGCAAGGUCAAGCAGCAGGAAGUCAGGGAAUUCAGCAACUUCUUUCAGGCCAUUGACACCUAUUCCAGCAGCCCAUUGAAGUAUCCCAUUUGCAAGUACUGUAUCAUACUGUAUUCCCUUUCUGUCCUUUAGGAAAGAGGCAGCAGAACAGCGAGGGCAGGCAACCACCAGUCAUUCAGGUUCAUUCACUCAUCUGGUUUUAAGUAAUUUGCACUGCUUUAGAUAUGCCCACGUGCUGCACAUUUUGUAUUUCACUCCAGUCCCCACUGAGUUGCUGACAAUUGCCUUCAAUCAAAGCACUUGUGGAUGUCUCAUACAACCUUUUACUUCCAUUUUUGAAUCUGUACUUUGAUUUCACAUUAAAAGACUUUCUUCAAUAUACAUGUAAGGUAUAUUGAUCCCAGGCUACACAAAAAAUAAGCGGCUAUAUUUUUAUUAAAAGAUAUAACAGUUAUUUGAUUCAGAAAAUGCUAUCUGGGUCAUGAGCUGGGUUAAGUUCUUAUCUGUAGUGUCUUUAACCCUGUGGGGACACCAUGCAGUGAGUCAGAGAAUGAACAAAUCUGAACCCCAGUAAAUGAAGUCCUACAUAGAGAUGUAAACCAAAUAGAGACAGUUACUUGCCCCUCUCGUUUGCUCUCCUCUCACAAUUAAAUGAAAUUCUCACUGUAUCAAGUGAUACUUAUUUCCUAAGCAAUUUAUCACACUCAGUUUCUGUACAGUACUGAUGAUUUCACCUGUUUU
Molecule: long non-coding RNA, 875 nt
Filed under: Anser brachyrhynchus (Pink-footed goose)
Lineage: Eukaryota; Metazoa; Chordata; Aves; Anseriformes; Anatidae
Description: lncRNA (ENSABRG00000002097.1)
Source: RNAcentral